AAAUUGAAGAGUUUGAUCAUGGCUCAGAUUGAACGCUGGCGGCAGGCCUAACACAUGCAAGUCGAACGGUAACAGGAAGAAGCUUGCUUCUUUGCUGACGAGUGGCGGACGGGUGAGUAAUGUCUGGGAAACUGCCUGAUGGAGGGGGAUAACUACUGGAAACGGUAGCUAAUACCACAUAACGUCGCAAGACCAAAGAGGGGGACCUUCGGGCCUCUUGCCAUCGGAUGUGCCCAGAUGGGAUUAGCUAGUAGGUGGGGUAACGGCUCACCUAGGCGACGAUCCCUAGCUGGUCUGAGAGGAUGACCAGCCACACUGGAACUGAGACACGGUCCAGACUCCUACGGGAGGCAGCAGUGGGGAAUAUUGCACAAUGGGCGCAAGCCUGAUGCAGCCAUGCCGCGUGUAUGAAGAAGGCCUUCGGGUUGUAAAGUACUUUCAGCGGGGAGGAAGGGAGUAAAGUUAAUACCUUU
This 473-nucleotide ribosomal RNA is filed under the name Escherichia coli. Its description in RNAcentral is "bacterial SSU rRNA". It matches the Rfam family "Bacterial small subunit ribosomal RNA", at positions 1 to 470 of the family's 1533-position model. The record is from RNAcentral. Lineage: Bacteria; Pseudomonadati; Pseudomonadota; Gammaproteobacteria; Enterobacterales; Enterobacteriaceae.